RNAcentral lists this long non-coding RNA (239 nucleotides) under Malus domestica (apple). RNAcentral's name for it is "long non-coding RNA (MDOM_LNC014874)". The record is from RNAcentral. Lineage: Eukaryota; Viridiplantae; Streptophyta; Magnoliopsida; Rosales; Rosaceae.
CUUGAUGUAAUCCUACAGUUAUGGGAAAGCUUUCAGUUUGUCCUUCAUGAGUUCUUACGGCAGUCUUUGCUCAUUCAUACAUAUCCUUUAUAGCUUGGAUAUAUGCUACUCGUACUCAUUUCUUCUCUAAAAUCCUCCAAAGAAUGUCUCUUGGGACCCUAUCAUACACUUUUUCCAAAUCUAUAAAGACCAUGUGUAAAUCCUUUUUCCCAUCUCUAUAUCUUUCCAUCAAUCUUCGU